UGAACGCUAGCGGCAGGCCUAACACAUGCAAGUCGAGGGGUAACAGGGAGCUUGCUUCGCUGACGACCGGCGCACGGGUGCGUAACGCGUAUACAAUCUACCUUUUGCUACGGGAUAGCCUUUGGAAACGAAGAUUAAUACCGUAUAGUAUAUAGAUUUCUCAUGAGAUUUAUAUUAAAGGUUACGGCAGAAGAUGAGUAUGCGUCCUAUUAGCUAGAUGGUGUGGUAACGGCACACCAUGGCUACGAUAGGUAGGGGCCCUGAGAGGGGGAUCCCCCACACUGGUACUGAGACACGGACCAGACUCCUACGGGAGGCAGCAGUGAGGAAUAUUGGACAAUGGAGGCAACUCUGAUCCAGCCAUGCCGCGUGCAGGAAGACUGCCCUAUGGGUUGUAAACUGCUUUUAUACGGGAAGAAACACUGCUACGUGUAGCAGCUUGACGGUACCGUAAGAAUAAGGAUCGGCUAACUCC
RNAcentral lists this ribosomal RNA (475 nucleotides) under uncultured bacterium. RNAcentral describes it as "bacterial SSU rRNA". It matches the Rfam family "Bacterial small subunit ribosomal RNA", at positions 30 to 504 of the family's 1533-position model. The record is from RNAcentral.